RNAcentral lists this ribosomal RNA (253 nucleotides) under uncultured bacterium. RNAcentral describes it as "partial 16S ribosomal RNA". It matches the Rfam family "Bacterial small subunit ribosomal RNA", at positions 524 to 776 of the family's 1533-position model. The record is from RNAcentral.
UACGAAGGGGGCUAGCGUUGUUCGGAAUUACUGGGCGUAAAGGGCGCGUAGGCGGUACUUCAAGUCAGGCGUGAAAGCCCCGGGCUCAACCUGGGAACCGCGCUUGAGACUGGAGAACUAGAGUUCGGGAGAGGAUGGUGGAAUUCCCAGUGUAGAGGUGAAAUGCGUAGAUAUCGGAAGGAACACCAGUGGCGAAAGCGGCUUCCUGGUCCAGCACCGACGUUCAGGCACGAAAGCGUGGGGAGCAAACAGG